This is a regulatory RNA element of 110 nucleotides. It matches the Rfam family "Ribosomal protein L10 leader". Rfam says of the family: This family is a putative r-protein leader autoregulatory structure found in B. subtilis and other low-GC Gram-positive bacteria. It is located in the 5' untranslated regions of mRNAs encoding ribosomal proteins L10 and L12 (rplJ-rplL). The record is from Rfam.
AUCUUUGUUAUAUUUCUGCCUAAGACUCAGGUGGCGUAAGCCUUAAUAUCCUGCCGAGGAAAGUUUCUUUUCCUAUGUCUACGGUGGCAUAGGGAUUUUUUAUUAAAUCC